GACGACGCUGGCGGCGUGCUUAACACAUGCAAGUCGAACGAGUGGCGAACGGGUGAGUAAUACGUGGGAACCUGCCCUCCUUUUUGGGAUAAGCCUUGGAAACGGGGUCUAAUACCGAAUAAAGGGGGAUGGGCUCGCGGCCUAUCAGCUUGUUGGUGGGGUGAUGGCCUACCAAGGCGACGAUCAGUAGCGGGUCUGAGAGGAUGAUCCGCCACACUGGGACUGAGACACGGCCCAGACUCCUACGGGAGGCAGCAGUGGGGAAUUUUGGACAAUGGGCGCAAGCCUGAUCCAGCCAUGCCGCGUGUAUGAAGAAGGCCUUCGGGUUGUAAAGUACUUUCAGCGGGGAGGCGUUACCCGCAGAAGAAGCACCGGCUAACUCCGUGCCAGCAGCCGCGGUAAUUC
Molecule: ribosomal RNA, 405 nt
Filed under: uncultured bacterium
Lineage: Bacteria
Description: partial 16S ribosomal RNA
Rfam family: Bacterial small subunit ribosomal RNA
Source: RNAcentral